GUGGGGAAUCUUAGACAAUGGGGGAAACCCUGAUCUAGCCAUGCCGCGUGAGCGAUGAAGGCCUUAGGGUUGUAAAGCUCUUUCAGCUGGGAAGAUAAUGACGGUACCAGCAGAAGAAGCCCCGGCUAACUCCGUGCCAGCAGCCGCGGUAAUACGGAGGGGGCUAGCGUUGUUCGGAAUUACUGAGCGUAAAGCGCGCGUAGGCGGACCAGAAAGUUGGAGGUGAAAUCCCAGGGCUCAACCUUGGAACUGCCUUCAAAACUCCUGGUCUGGAGUUCGAGAGAGGUGAGUGGAAUUCCGAGUGUAGAGGUGAAAUUCGUAGAUAUUCGGAGGAACACCAGUGGCGAAGGCGGCUCACUGGCUCGAUACUGACGCUGAGGUGCGAAAGCGUGGGGAGCAAACAGGAUUAGAAACCCUAGUAGUCC
RNAcentral lists this ribosomal RNA (425 nucleotides) under uncultured bacterium. Its description in RNAcentral is "partial 16S ribosomal RNA". It matches the Rfam family "Bacterial small subunit ribosomal RNA", at positions 354 to 796 of the family's 1533-position model. The record is from RNAcentral.